Molecule: transfer RNA, 71 nt
Filed under: Ctenolabrus rupestris (goldsinny wrasse)
Lineage: Eukaryota; Metazoa; Chordata; Actinopteri; Labriformes; Labridae
Description: tRNA-Pro
Rfam family: tRNA
About the family: Transfer RNA (tRNA) molecules are approximately 80 nucleotides in length. Their secondary structure includes four short double-helical elements and three loops (D, anti-codon, and T loops).
Source: RNAcentral
CAAAGAAUAGUCUAAUUUUAGGAUCCUGGCUUUGGGAGCCAGGGGUGGGAGUUAAAAUCUCCCUUCUUUGA